This 407-nucleotide ribosomal RNA is filed under the name uncultured bacterium. RNAcentral's name for it is "partial 16S ribosomal RNA". It matches the Rfam family "Bacterial small subunit ribosomal RNA", at positions 30 to 526 of the family's 1533-position model. The record is from RNAcentral.
AUUGAACGCUGGCGGCAUGCCUAACACAUGCAAGUCGAGCGGAGCGGCGAACGGGUGGGUAAUGCCGAGGAAUUUGCCAGGUGGUGGGGGAUAACGUCCGGAAACGGGCGCUUAUACCGCAUACUAUCUGAUGAGCCUAGGUCGGAUGAGCGAGUUGGGGGGGUAAAGGCUGACAAAGGAGACGGUCCACAGCUGGUCUGAGAGGAUGAUCAGUCACACUGGAACUGAGACACGGUCCAGACUCCUACGGGAGGCAGCAGUGGGGAAUAUUGGACAAUGGGCGAAAGCCUGAUCCAGCCAUGCCGCGUGUGUGAAGAAGGUCUUCGGAUUGUAAAGCACUUUAAGUGGGGAGGCGUUACUAACAGAAUAAGCACCGGCUAACUUCGUGCCAGCAGCCGCGGUAAUAC